UACAUUGAGUGAAUGAUUUGU
Molecule: non-coding RNA, 21 nt
Filed under: Caenorhabditis elegans
Lineage: Eukaryota; Metazoa; Nematoda; Chromadorea; Rhabditida; Rhabditidae
Source: RNAcentral